This is a non-coding RNA of Plasmodium vivax (malaria parasite P. vivax), 72 nucleotides long. NCBI's taxonomy places the organism in Eukaryota, Apicomplexa, Aconoidasida, Haemosporida, Plasmodiidae. The record is from the annotation of a RefSeq genome assembly.
GGUGGGUGGUUGUAAUUUUUGUUUGCUUCAUUUUUUUCUUUCACCAAAAUGGGAGGAACUUUACGAAAAGGG